Molecule: long non-coding RNA, 773 nt
Organism: Asparagus officinalis (garden asparagus)
Lineage: Eukaryota; Viridiplantae; Streptophyta; Magnoliopsida; Asparagales; Asparagaceae
Exons: 3
Source: RefSeq, a predicted model, not a curated record
UUCUAAGUCAAUUCAAAAGAUCAAAGAGACUAGUACGGAUGUUUGGCAAGGAACUCAGCUCUUAGCCAUAGAUGUUGCUGCCAUGGCAGGAUUACUCAAAAGGGCUCUUACUGGUGAUGAACUCACGGAGAAGGAAAAGAAGGCUCUCCGAAGAACUCUUACUAAUAUGGCAUCAGUUGUUCCCAUAGGAAUUCUCAUGCUUCUUCUUGUUAUUGUUGUUGGACAUGCAGCGAUGUUGGCUGUCAUUCAAAGAUAUGUACCUUCUUUGCUAUGAAUCAUUGUGAUUCUUCUUCUACCUGUGGGGGCAUGUAUUUUAUGUUUACUGGACUAAAACUGCUACUCUUUCCUUGGUUACACUUACAGAUACCAUCCACUUAUGGUCCAGAGAGGCUGGAUCUGUUGAGGUAGCUUGAGAAAGUGAAAGAGAUGGAGACCGCUGAUAAUGGCUGUGAUGAAAUGACAGAAGCAAUUAGCUCAAGCAGCAGCAAUCAACAAUAAUUUCAUUUCCUGAUAUUAAAUCAGCAAUGAUGAUACGUACUGGAAAUUGUACAAAUCAAGAUUGACCAUUUCAUAUAGGUAUAUACUUUGAUUAUUUCACACAAAGGGCUGUUGACUGGCCUCUGAAAGAGGUUGAAUUAAAUUUUUAGUCUAGGAAAGAAGUGUUAAGCUUCAUGUUCCCAUUUCUUUGGUAGUCCCCUGGUGCCUGUUGUGUUUCAAUGCAUUACUCUGUAUAUAACAAUAGCUAGGAUAAUUAGUAUUCACAGAAUCAAUAG